UUUUUUUUUUUUUUUUUCCUUUUUUGCCCCAGGCUUCCUAGGAACCUAAAAGCAUCCUGGCUGUCACUCUCUCCCCAGAGUGACUGUGUGGGAGGAGAAUCUGGUCAGCUCCCCAUCACUCAGCCCUUUGAUGACUUACCAUUUGCCCUUUGUUUGAGAGAGGCCAAAUGAGUUAACCUGGCCUAUAAGGCCGUGCUGACCUGGCUCUGCUUCCUCCCAGAGGUGCCUCGGAUUUUCCUGUGUAGAAGGCAGGGCACUGGUCUCCAAGCCAUACAUGCUUUUACAGUGGCAUGAAAGCUUACAACACUUUGCCCAAGACUGAGACAGCCUCCGUUGUCCGUUCCAAACAAUGGAGGUGGUGGGACCAACACAUAGAAGGCACCCACCGGCUUCUCUGACUUCAGGCUUCACCGUGUGUGGAACUUGGCAUGGCACUUGCUCCAGUGACUGACUGAUGAGGGAGAUUUCGUGCUGCGUUGGUGCUCACCCCUGGGUCUUCGUCUGUGCUGUUCCCCCGUGCCUGGAAUCCUUGACCUUUCUUAGCCUGGGUAAUUUCUACUCGUCCUUCGGAUUGUAACUUGAACGGCCCCCGCUCCCACAGCCUUCGUUGCUUCCGUCCCUUUGUCUAUCCUCAUUACAAUCGCCGGCUUAAAGGUCCGUCUCCUUCACUAGACUGGAGGAAUGUUGUGUCCCCGGGCCCGCAGCCCAAUUCUGCGCUCCUGGCACAGGGCAGAAAUCAAUGCAUGUCUGCAAAAGGACUCACCGAAUGACGGAAUAAAUGAAUGAAUUUAACAGUGGCCCAAAAGAAACAGUGACGGACUCUACCCGCAGGUGGAGGCAGUUGAACAGGCAGAGCAGAGUGGGAAGAGCCCACAGCUGGGACAAAGAAACAGCUUGGGAGGCCGGUACAGGUUCACUCCUGCCCAGAGGUUCUCGCCCGCGUUGCUGCCUGUGAAGACACAGCAAGAAGUGAGCUGUUGGUGAACCAGAAAGAGGGCUCCCACCAGACAUCAAAUCUGCCGGUGCCUUGAUCUGAAACUUUCCAGCCAGCCUUCAGAACUGAAACGUGCACCAGGCCUGACAGAACAAAGGCCAAGUGGCUUCUGGAGGUUCAGCGAUCCUUCUCAGCUUACCUGUGAG
Long non-coding RNA from Felis catus (domestic cat), 1140 nucleotides. RefSeq lists it as uncharacterized. Lineage: Eukaryota; Metazoa; Chordata; Mammalia; Carnivora; Felidae. The record is from RefSeq and is a predicted model, not a curated record. The transcript is spliced from 3 exons.